RNAcentral lists this ribosomal RNA (253 nucleotides) under uncultured bacterium. RNAcentral's name for it is "partial 16S ribosomal RNA". It matches the Rfam family "Bacterial small subunit ribosomal RNA", at positions 524 to 776 of the family's 1533-position model. The record is from RNAcentral.
CACGUAGGGGGCAAGCGUUGUCCGGAAUUACUGGGCGUAAAGCGCACGUAGGUGGCGACGUAAGUCGGGUGUGAAAGCCCCGGGCUCAACCUGGGAAUUGCAUUCGAGACUGCAUUGCUGGAGUACGGAAGAGGAAGGCGGAAUUCCCGGUGUAGCGGUGAAAUGCGUAGAUAUCGGGAGGAACAUCAGUGGCGAAGGCGGCCUUCUGGUCCAGUACUGACACUCAAGUGCGAAAGCGUGGGGAGCAAACAGG